GUCUGAUGGAGCAACGCCGCGUGAGCGAUGAAGGCCUUCGGGUCGUAAAGCUCUGUUGUUAGGGAAGAACAAGUACCGGAGUAACUGCCGGUACCUUGACGGUACCUAACCAGAAAGCCACGGCUAACUACGUGCCAGCAGCCGCGGUAAUACGUAGGUGGCAAGCGUUGUCCGGAAUUAUUGGGCGUAAAGCGCGCGCAGGCGGUUUCUUAAGUCUGAUGUGAAAGCCCACGGCUCAACCGUGGAGGGUCAUUGGAAACUGGGAAACUUGAGUGCAGAAGAGGAAAGUGGAAUUCCACGUGUAGCGGUGAAAUGCGUAGAGAUGUGGAGGAACACCAGUGGCGAAGGCGACUUUCUGGUCUGUAACUGACGCUGAGGCGCGAAAGCGUGGGGAGCAAACAGGAUUAGAUACCCUGGUAGUCCACGCCGUAAACGAUGAGUGCUAAGUGUUAGGGGGUUUCCGCCCCUUAGUGCUGCAGCUAACGCAUUAAGCACUCCGCCUGGGGAGUACGGCCGCAGGAU
This 522-nucleotide ribosomal RNA is filed under the name Bacillus sp. HZBN47. RNAcentral describes it as "bacterial SSU rRNA". It matches the Rfam family "Bacterial small subunit ribosomal RNA", at positions 381 to 894 of the family's 1533-position model. The record is from RNAcentral. Lineage: Bacteria; Bacillati; Bacillota; Bacilli; Caryophanales; Bacillaceae.